AUUGAACGCUGGCGGCAGGCCUAACACAUGCAAGUCGAGCGGAUGAAGGGAGCUUGCUCCUGGAUUCAGCGGCGGACGGGCGAGUAAUGCCUAGGAAUCUGCCUGGUAGUGGGGGAUAACGUCCGGAAACGGGCGCUAAUACCGCAUAAGUCCUGAGGGAGAAAGUGGGGGAUCUUCGGACCUCACGCUAUCAGAUGAGCCUAGGUCGGAUUAGCUAGUUGGUGGGGUAAAGGCCUACCAAGGCGACGAUCCGUAACUGGUCUGAGAGGAUGAUCAGUCACACUGGAACUGAGACACGGUCCAGACUCCUACGAGAGGCAGCAGUGGGGAAUAUUGGACAAUGGGCGAAAGCCUGAUCCAGCCAUGCCGCGCGUGUGAAGAAGGUCUUCGGAUUGUAAAGCACUUUAAGUUGGGAGGAAGGGCAGUAAGUUAAUACCUUGCUGUUUUGACGUUACCAACAGAAUAAGCACCGGCUAACUUCGUG
This 484-nucleotide ribosomal RNA is filed under the name uncultured bacterium. RNAcentral's name for it is "partial 16S ribosomal RNA". It matches the Rfam family "Bacterial small subunit ribosomal RNA", at positions 30 to 507 of the family's 1533-position model. The record is from RNAcentral.